GAUGAAGAACGUAGCGAAAUGCGAUACUAGGUGUGAAUUGCAGAAUCCCGUGAACCAUCGAGUCUUUGAACGCAAGUUGCGCCUCAAGCCAUUAGGUUGAGGGCACGUCUGCCUGAGCGUCACAUAUCGUUGCCUGAUGCCAGUUUCCUCGUGAUGGGUGACUGUGCAGGGCGAAUGAUGGCUUCCCGUGAGCAUUGUUGCCUCAUGGUUGGUUGAAAAUUGAGUCCUUGGUAGGGAGCGCCGUGAUAGAUGGUGGUUGAGUGACGAACGAGACCCAAUCAUGUGAGACCCCUACCGAAUUUGGCCUUCAUGACCCACAUGCGUCUUUGGAACGCUCAUGACGAGACCUCAGGUCAGGCGGGGCUACCCGCUGAGUUUAAGCAUAUCAAUAAGCGGAGGA
Molecule: unclassified non-coding RNA, 400 nt
Filed under: soil metagenome
Description: partial contains 5.8S ribosomal RNA, internal transcribed spacer 2, and large subunit ribosomal RNA
Rfam family: 5.8S ribosomal RNA (bases 1-122)
Source: RNAcentral